CAAUCGAACCUGGAGAUAGCUGGUUCUCUCCGAAAUAGCUUUAGGGCUAGCCUCAAGUGAUGAUUAUUGGAGGUAGAGCACUGUUUGGACGAGGGGCCCCUCUCGGGUUACCGAAUUCAGACAAACUCCGAAUGCCAAUUAAUUUAACUUGGGAGUCAGAACAUGGGUGAUAAGGUCCGUGUUCGAAAGGGAAACAGCCCAGACCACCAGCUAAGGUCCCAAAAUAUAUGUUAAGUGGAAAAGGAUGUGGCGUUGCCCAGACAACUAGGAUGUUGGCUUAGAAGCAGCCAUCAUUUAAAGAGUGCGUAAUAGCUCACUAGUCGAGUGACACUGCGCCGAAAAUGUACCGGGGCUAAACAUAUUACCGAAGCUGUGGAUUGUCCUUUGGACAAUGGUAGGAGAGCGUUCUAAGGGCGUUGAAGCAUGAUCGUAAGGACAUGUGGAGCGCUUAGAAGUGAGAAUGCCGGUGUGAGUAGCGAAAGACGGGUGAGAAUCCCGUCCACCGAUUGACUAAGGUUUCCAGAGGAAGGCUCGUCCGCUCUGGGUUAGUCGGGUCCUAAGCUGAGGCCGACAGGCGUAGGCGAUGGAUAACAGGUUGAUAUUCCUGUACCACCUAUAAUCGUUUUAAUCGAUGGGGGGACGCAGUAGGAUAGGCGAAGCGUGCGAUUGGAUUGCACGUCUAAGCAGUAAGGCUGAGUAUUAGGCAAAUCC
RNAcentral lists this ribosomal RNA (711 nucleotides) under Staphylococcus aureus. RNAcentral describes it as "partial 23S ribosomal RNA". It matches the Rfam family "Bacterial large subunit ribosomal RNA", at positions 830 to 1543 of the family's 2925-position model. Lineage: Bacteria; Bacillati; Bacillota; Bacilli; Caryophanales; Staphylococcaceae. The record is from RNAcentral.